CCUUCGGGAACGUCUGACACAGGUGCUGCAUGGCUGCCGUCAGCUCGUGUCGUGAGAUGUUGGGUUAAGUCCGUAACGAGCGCAACCCUUGUCCUUAGUUACCAGCACGUUAUGGUGGGCACUCUAAGGAGACUGCCGGUGACAAACCGGAGGGAAGGUGGGGAUGACGUCAAGUCAUCAUGGCCCUUACGGCCUGGGCUACACACGUGCUACAAUGGUCGGUACAAAGGGUUGCCAAGCCGCGAGGUGGAGCUAAUCCCAUAAAACCGAUCGUAGUCCGGAUCGCAGUCUGCAACUCGACUGCGUGAAGUCGGAAUCGCUAGUAAUCGUGAAUCAGAAUGUCACGGUGAAUACGUUCCCGGGCCUU
RNAcentral lists this ribosomal RNA (367 nucleotides) under uncultured Pseudomonas sp. RNAcentral's name for it is "bacterial SSU rRNA". It matches the Rfam family "Bacterial small subunit ribosomal RNA", at positions 1017 to 1382 of the family's 1533-position model. The record is from RNAcentral. Lineage: Bacteria; Pseudomonadati; Pseudomonadota; Gammaproteobacteria; Pseudomonadales; Pseudomonadaceae.